AGAGUUAAAUAGUACGUGAAAUUGUUGAAAGGGAAACGAUUGAAGUCAGUCGUGCUGGCGCGUAAUCAGCCUACGAUUUGUCAAACAAGUAGUGUGGUGAGCCUCAAAACCGCCAUAUUAUUUGUCUGGCUAAUCGUCGGUGCACUUUCGUGUCGGCUGGUUAACAUCAAUUUCAAAUGUCAUAAAAAGGCUGGAGGGAUGUGGCUCCUUCGGGAGUGUUAUAACCUUUAGCGGAAUGUGGUGUUUGAGAUUGAGGAUUGCAACGAAUACCUUUAGGGCUGUUCCACCUGGUCUCUCUUUGGCAUCUUGGCGGCGACAGCUUGCUGACGUUGUUAAGAGUUGACAUUGAACAGGCUAGAGUGUGAGCAAAUUCGUUAAGGAUGUUAACGUAAUGGCUUUAAACGACC
Molecule: non-coding RNA, 407 nt
Filed under: uncultured fungus
Lineage: Eukaryota; Fungi
Also listed under: 1 other name
Source: RNAcentral